RNAcentral lists this ribosomal RNA (432 nucleotides) under uncultured bacterium. Its description in RNAcentral is "partial 16S ribosomal RNA". It matches the Rfam family "Bacterial small subunit ribosomal RNA", at positions 29 to 506 of the family's 1533-position model. The record is from RNAcentral.
AACGAACGCUGGCGGCAUGCCUAACACAUGCAAGUCGAACGAGACCUUCGGGUCUAGUGGCGCACGGGUGCGUAACGCGUGGGAACCUGCCCUUAGGUUCGGAAUAACUCCCCGAAAGGGGUGCUAAUACCGGAUAAUGUCUUCGGACCAAAGAUUUAUCGCCUUUGGAUGGGCCCGCGUUGGAUUAGCUAGUUGGUAGGGUAAAAGCCUACCAAGGCGACGAUCCAUAGCUGGUCUGAGAGGAUGAUCAGCCACACUGGGACUGAGACACGGCCCAGACUCCUACGGGAGGCAGCAGUGGGGAAUAUUGGACAACGGGCGAAAGCCUGAUCCAGCAAUGCCGCGUGAGUGAUGAAGGCCUUAGGGUUGUAAAGCUCUUUUACCCGGGAUGAUAAUGACAGUACCGGGAGAAUAAGCUCCGGCUAACUCCGU